Molecule: ribosomal RNA, 429 nt
Filed under: Bacteroidota bacterium
Lineage: Bacteria; Pseudomonadati; Bacteroidota
Description: Bacteroidetes bacterium partial 16S ribosomal RNA
Rfam family: Bacterial small subunit ribosomal RNA
Source: RNAcentral
UAGGGAAUCUUCGGCAAUGGGGGGAACCCUGACCGAGCAACGCCGCGUGAGUGAAGAAGGUUUUCGGAUCGUAAAGCUCUGUUGUUAAGGAAGAACGAGUGUGAGAAUGGAAAGUUCAUGCUGUGACGGUACUUAACCAGAAAGGGACGGCUAACUACGUGCCAGCAGCCGCGGUAAUACGUAGGUCCCGAGCGUUGUCCGGAUUUAUUGGGCGUAAAGCGAGCGCAGGCGGUUAGAAAAGUCUGAAGUGAAAGGCAGUGGCUCAACCAUUGUAUGCUUUGGAAACUGUUUAACUUGAGUGCAGAAGGGGAGAGUGGAAUUCCAUGUGUAGCGGUGAAAUGCGUAGAUAUAUGGAGGAACACCGGUGGCGAAAGCGGCUCUCUGGUCUGUAACUGACGCUGAGGCUCGAAAGCGUGGGGAGCGAACAGG